UAUUAUUAACAUUAAAUUAUCUAAUAAAUUAUGAUGUAGUUAAUUUAUUAUUAUUUAUUACGCGUUUUUAUCAACAGAACUUAUUAUCAGACAAAUCUGUUCAUACAUAUACAAAUACACACAUAUAAAAUCAUUAAUACUUAGAUAGACGUAAGAAAUAUAAAAUAUAUAAAAAUAUAUGGAAAAAUAUGCAUCCAUUAUGUGUAAUCGAGAAUGAAAACGGAAUGAUUGUAGCAAUUAGAGAUAUAACGAUAUUAUUAAGAGAAUCAUCUGCGAAUGAAAGAUAUUACAACCAAUUAGGGAUCAUUAAAACUCAUAAUGUCAAGGCGCACAUGUUCUAUCUAUUAAUGAUUAUGACUAUUGAUACAUUGUCGGUUCUCAUAGCACGAAGAACGAUUUAUAUUCUCGAUUAUCAAUGCGAACAUCGUUUGCACUUAGAGUAUGAAAGAUCGAAAGGAAGCGUCUGUUUACUCAUAAAUCUACUGCUCCAUCAACAUGGAAUAAUAGGCUUCUGAGAAAAGAAGUGAAUUGCGUUUGCAGUUGAAAUAACAGAAAAUGACAGGAGAUUAUUGUUUACUUAGGAGAUGGGCUAGUCUAUCAUCAAUCAAAAUGAAAUGGUAUACUUCUAAGUGAAGCAAUUAUUUUUUUUUAAUACUUUUCGAGUAAUUUUACAGAGUAUUUCAAAACUUAUUCACAAAGAAACUUGAAUGUGUUAAUUACAUUUAAAUAAAAUUCUUUAUCGUUUCGUAUUAUACGGAGUCGUUUAUAUCGAGACAUCAAAUUAUUUGAAGAAAUCUCAUCUCAUAAAGGAACGCGGACGAUGAGACUUCAUAAUAUCUAUGUAGAGUAAAAAUCAAUCGAUAUUGAGAAGUUAAUUAUCUAUAUUUCGUGGCAUACUCCAAUCCAAACUGCCGUGAAUGCCAGGAGCAUCGAAGCAGCGCGCGUUGUUCUCGUCGUCCCGUUCCAGUCUUCCCGUAAUUUGCGCGCAUCGAAAUAAUCUCGAGACAAGAACGAUCGGCGUGACGGCGCCCGUCGUAAAUCACCGGUCGAUCCGAUCGCGGCGAGCGCCGCGGCGUCAUCCGUCUCUGACAAAGUGCGAACCCGCCGAGGGAUCUUCCGCCGCCCCAGCAACUUCCGGCGGUCGUUAUUUACGGGGCUAGAUUGGCGGGACUUGGGGAGCUCGAGUUCCAGCGCGAGAGGCGUGAGGUCGGGAUCGCAAAUUGAUCUCGGAGGCUUGGGAGGAGGCGGUGAUGGCGGCAGCGGCGGCGGCGACGGAGGCGACGGAGGCGUCGCCUUUUAUCGCCCGCCGAUGCACUUCCUCGCGCCGCGUCCCGGCGACGAAAGUAAUUUUCUUAGACCGCUAUCGCGCGCUCCACGUCUCUCCGCGACGGGUCGCUUAAAAAAUGCAUCUCCAAGAAAUCGAUGUGUUAUCGGGAGAAAUGUUACGUGCAUGCAAUUUGUGAAAUAGCACUCCGAGUGAUGUAUGGUGUUCGGCGUGGCUCUCUUGGAUUCCCGAUCGAGCACCUACCCUGCUUAUUCCACAUUAAAACGGCAUCGGGACCGACAAAGUGCGAGAAAUUCCGUUGAAAGCACCUUCUAUGCCCGUCGUUAGAAACCCGCAACAAAUGGCACAACUAAAAUGAAAUGUUAAAGCCAGUAUUAAUCGCAGAAAGAGUGUAGCACGACGGCACGAUUUAAGUAGUGGUUCGAGCAAGGAUGAGCCGGUGCCGUAGGUCAGGUAUGAAUUCUUGAUGUCGAGAGCUUGGGUACGACCGCAGACACCAGGAUCCCACUGCGCUGGCAACCACCGGUGCCUUGCUCUGACAAUCCCGCGAUGAAUCAUCCGAAUGUCGACCUCAUCGUCGAACGAACGUGAUCAUCUAUCAUCAUCAAAUAGGGCUAGAAGCUGCUCAAUAAGUUAUCGGCAAUUUCUUGGCUACAGAGUGACCUACUUUUUCCUUAUGUUGUAGCUGUGUGCUAGGAUACAAUAACAUCUGUUAUCGUUUUCGAGCUAUCAUUUUAUUGUUAGUUAUAAUAAUUUUCUGUUUCAAUUCAAUAAAAUAAAACGUAAUAUUACAAACUCACGACAGAUGUUUAAGCGAAAUAAAAUUUUUCUACGAAAAUAUUACACAAAUUAGUUUUCUUUUGUUUUAGACACAUUGUAAAUAAUCGUUUAAAGACCGUGCAAAUUUAUCUUUAGCUACUCAUAGCAUAAUUAGUUCGAGCGGUUUCUCCGAAAACACGUACAAAUCUCUGUCGCCGUCUGCACUGAACUGAAUCUUUGAUAAAGAAAACCGACAGCAAUGUUCAACGAUGUUCUCGUGGCAUGAGUUGAAUAUUCGCAGAAACCACGAACAUUUACCGCUUUAGUCACAUACACGUUGAUUGUGUAAUGUCCGACGCAAGGGCCAGGUAAUUAACGGAUACACCACUAAUUGAAUCGAGCUGUGCAAUACACAACCAUACAGUGGCAUGUUCUAAAAUUUCAUGCAGAAACUUAGAUCUGGAAUAUAUGCUUUCCUAAUUUUCGUGCUAGAGGCGCGAGAAUUCUAUGUCCUAUUAAAACAUAAUUUAAUUACAACAAAGAAAUAAUUCACAUAAUUGCGACCGAGGUAAGUUAUGAUAAUCUUUUGCUAUAAUAGAAUUACAAAGUUACACAAAAUUAGUUUUAGAAAUGCCGAAAUUAUAAAAAACACUAAUACAUACUAAUUAGUUAUUAGAAUCAAUAAUAGUCGUUGCUUUCUGUAAUACGUACAAUUAUACGAGUUAAUUCUGCGUAGUAAUAGCUGCUAAAUCAAUGAUCAUUUUCCGGUGUAAAUGGAGAGUCGCUUACAUCAUGUAUCAGGGAGCGUUCUGGCGGUUCGCCGAAAUUCAGAGAAUCGCGGUCGAGAAAUCGGUGGUGGCGAUCACGUCGCUAGAACUCGAAUUAUCCCCAGGACCGGAAGAUCAGUUCCCAAUAAUCCGCGGCACGCGCAUUUACAUCCGGAAACGAGGCAAUAAAUACAGGCGUUUACACGGCGGUCCACCUGCACGGCGCGGCCGGUCGUUCUCUGCCCAACGAUGGGAAGGGGCUGGGAUAAAUUCCUGGCCAUCGGCCAGUAUUUCGGGUUUCCGAAGCCGUUUCGUCCGAUACAAAUGGACGCCACGGACAACCUGGGGAACUGCGAAACUACGAAACUACGGUACUAAAUGGACCUGCUGCCGCCAACGUCGCGCCGCCGCUACCGCUGUUGCUGCCGUCGCCAGUAGGGGGAUGCGAAAGAACACGAACACGUGGCCGAAGGGGUGACGAUUAAUGAACUCGUCGUACCGUUACACAGGAUCGUGCUAGGUUUAUGUUGUUAUUGGCAGAUACUGGGAAAUCGGUGGUUGCAUCGGCGACAUCAAUGAUCCCUUUAUUACAAACAGUUGGAGACCGUAAUAUUUCGAGUAGAUUUUAAAGUUGCUAACAAAAACGCAUUCUUCAGUUAAAUAAAUUUUGUUUACUGUGUGAGAUAUACUUAUUACGUUAUUUAAAAAACGUUUAUGUAUAACGUAACAAAAAUUGAAUCAAAUUUUGAUUGACAGAAAAUUAGCCCAAGAAAACAUGUAUUUCUCAGAUUUCAUGCAAAUCUUAUGAAGCACAAGUUAAUAAUAUAAAACACAUUUUACAAUAUGAUCUUUAAGUAAAUCUGUAUAAAACUUUCUACUAAAAUCUAGCUAUUUAAAUCUAAAAGAUUAGUUUAUUUUGCUUUAAAAAAAUGUCAAAAGCACCGACGAUAAAAAGACGAUAAAAAGACAGAAAAAAAGGGGAAAAACCGAAUGGAUACAGGGUUUUUUAACGAGCUAGGAAUUUCAAAUGUAUGUCCAGGGAGAAAAAACGCAAAAAAUAAUAUGACGAAGAAUCUGAGAGAUUACAAAGGAUCCCCAUCCUGAUUUUCAAUCGAUCGAAUCUGCUGCAGUUUUCCGAGCGUAUUCAAGUCCUCUUUUCCCCUCGGUCCUGGUGGGGCCCAAUUUCUACCUCGCUUUCUCCGGUCGAGUCCAUCGUGCGGUUCACGUUUUGCAUUCUGCAUUUUACAUUUUGCCACGCGCGUUCGCCUCGCACACGUCGUCGCGCAAAUUUAGCGUAAAUAAUUCGAGCAUUUGCGUUCCGUUGCCUCUCCGUCGAGGGCGGUACAAAACCGUCCUCCGCAUCGCCGUGUUCAUAGGCAUGUGGACAGAUGCACAUGUCUGACCGUGUAUUUUAUAUGUGUGUGUAGGGGUACAAUUUGCGAAUGUGCCUGUGCGACCGGUACGUGACGUGCAUCGAUACGAGCGAAUGCAUAUAGGCCUUUCAUACCUAUGGACAAAAUGAGAAUUCUCUUUUCCCUUUGAUCCAAGGUUCGAGCAUCAAAAAGGGAACCCACGUGACGUCUCCACAUUUGAAAUUAAAUCGACAUGCAUUUUAUGCUCAAUUAUUGACUGUGUUUAAUAUUAUUAUUCAUAUAUUUGUACAUUGUGCAAAGGCUAUGCGCGAUUUCGUUUAUCUUUGUAUGAGUAAAAUUUCGUUUUCGAUAUACGAAGAUAUAGCGCUAUGUUGUUACGUCACGAGCUACCUACGUCAUUGUUCAAGAGAUAAACGAGAAAUGGUCGCAACGUGACAUUCGCGUUAUCCCAACAGUCACCGCGAGGAUAUCGAUGCUAUUAAUUUAACACUUGACAAACUGGCCUGUGGAUUAAAGCAAACUUUGACAUUUGAAAAGUUCACAGCAUUUCGUGUGUAAACAUCGAAAUAAACUGUACAUUUCUCCAGGUUAGAUAUCUAUUGUUCUCAAUGAUCUGUGUAUAAGAUUACCUAAAUAAUUAUCUAAAUAAAAAAUGUACUUUACCUUAUUAUCUAGAUUAUUAGAAUAUAUGUUAUCUCACUAACAAAUUCUAUGGAGAGAUUUUGAGGUUUACCCCCCGCCCUCCUUCCAAA
Molecule: long non-coding RNA, 4936 nt
Organism: Monomorium pharaonis (pharaoh ant)
Lineage: Eukaryota; Metazoa; Arthropoda; Insecta; Hymenoptera; Formicidae
Exons: 3
Source: RefSeq, a predicted model, not a curated record